CGCGCAGGUGGUUUCUUAAGUCUGAUGUGAAAGCCCACGGCUCAACCGUGGAGGGUCAUUGGAAACUGGGAGACUUGAGUGCAGAAGAGGAUAGUGGAAUUCCAAGUGUAGCGGUGAAACGCGUAGAGAUUUGGAGGAACACCUGUGGCGAAAGCGGUUUUCUAGCUUAUUCCUGACGCUAAUGCGCGAAAGCAAGGGGGAGCAAAACA
Molecule: ribosomal RNA, 209 nt
Filed under: uncultured bacterium
Lineage: Bacteria
Description: partial 16S ribosomal RNA
Rfam family: Bacterial small subunit ribosomal RNA
Source: RNAcentral